Molecule: non-coding RNA, 4434 nt
Organism: Heterocephalus glaber (naked mole-rat)
Lineage: Eukaryota; Metazoa; Chordata; Mammalia; Rodentia; Bathyergidae
Source: RefSeq, a predicted model, not a curated record
UCUUUACAGCCUGCACUGCCCACAGCCUGCUUUGGGCAUAAUCUAUAGGGCAGCCCCUGUAAGAAAUGUUAGUUUUCUUGCAGUGAUGGGGGCAGGUGGACCACAGACACCUGUGAAAGAGCUCUGUGGGGGUUGCUGUUUCUUUCAAUCUCAGCAUUGGCCAAGCUCAGAAAGUCUUCGAGGAGCUCCAUGUGUUUGACCUUGAAUGAUGGAUUCCUCUGCAUCAGAAAGAUGACACUUGAAAGGUGUAAUGAAUCCCUAGGUCACUCAGCCAAUAGCAGAAGUAGCCCAGGAGACUGUCCUCGUCUCUCAUCCUCCAAAGUUCACCUAAACUUUCUGCUGUAGAGUUUCCAGGCUGGGAAAAUAACAAGAAGAAGAAGAAGAAACAAUUGGAGCAAGGAAUUUGCAAACUUAUGGGACAGCCGGGGAGAGCUGGCCUAGUUGUACUAGUGGCUAUCUGUGUGCUGGGAGAGCAACAGAAAAUAAGGCUGCAGAGCAAUGGGCCAAGCUCAGCCAUGCUGCGGGGUGAGUAAAAGCCAAGUAGGCAGCUUUUCUCUCUAUACUGCAUGCUAUUUCACACAGGUAUGUGAGGUUAUUAAAUAAGAAGAUAAUGGACACUACUAAAGAAAAAAUUUCAAGUUGCAAUAAGUAAACCAUAUUAUCAGAAACCAGACUAGAAGCCUCUGAAGUCAUAUUUAUAUCUCCACCCUCAAUUUUGCUCCUAAACUUUAUAACUCACUAAAGUUGGCAUCACCAUAAAUUUUCAGUUGAUUUUUCAAAUAUAUAAUAACCAAAGGGAUAUCAGUUUCUGGCUAACGACCCUGUCUUGUCAUUCUCAGUUAAUAUUCCCACCAUUCACCAGGUUCUAAUAUCCAAAGUAGGAGUUAUACUUGAUUCCUCCUUUUUUAUCCAUCUUUUAUCCUUAUUAUCCAGGCCAGAGAGAGAGAGAGAGAGAGAGAGAGAGAGAGAGGAGAUCCAAGUCUAGCUCCAAAUAGUUUAGAAUCUCAAGAUUUCUCUCUAUCCUGCUACCAUACUAAUGGAAAAUGGUCAAUCAGAUAACCAUACAAGGGUCUGCAGUGAUGUUUGUUCUUUAUUAUAUGUAGCAUGUGGACUCUUUUGUACAUUAAAGCAUGUGCUAUGAAAAUCUUGCUUCCUUCUCUAGAAGCUCAUCUUAUAAGACCCAUAUUUUCAUUGCUUUCUUCUUGGAAAAUGUCAGGAAACCAAAUACAGCUGCCCAGGACCAUGAGUCCAAAGCCAGUUAACAGCAGAAGUGGGAGGAUCAGAGUGCCUGUAGGGAGGGGCAACACCCAGCCCCUGCCCCUGGACAUUGUCAGGCCUCAGGGGCUCAGAGCAGAAGAGCCUGGGGCACAGCCUGUCAGCCAGCUGGGGGACGGGAUUCUGGCUGUUUCUGCCUGUGUCUCCAAUUUCCAUGGUUAUCCUCUUGGUUGAUCGAAACUAACAACCAAAGCAGUCACUCUGUGCUUAAAUCGGCCUCUCCGCUUGCACAUAGGAUGCUCUCUGAAUUAAUAUUACUAAUUAGUAUCCAUUCUUCAUAGAGAAGAUUGAGUCAGCUCGCUAAAUCUAGUUUUGGCUCUCUAUGGUUAAACAAGCCAAUGGGAUCCCAGCACACCUCAACUCAGGAAAACCUCCAGAAAUAAAAUCAAGUAGGGCCUAUAAAACUACCCUGUGUCCGUGACUUCUGGCCACUGUGCCCUUGGCUUUCUGCAGGCCACUCACUCUGGCCCUCUUUACCUCCCUCGGCCACAAAGCUCCUGUUCCUGCUGCAGGUUCUGGUGCUCACCCCUUCCCCGGAGUGACUGCUCUCCAUGGAUCCGUGCAUGCUCAGCACCUCUGUGUCCGCCACCUCUUAGCUCAGAUAGUAACUCCACAAACAAGCCCUUCUCAGUCAUAGGUACGAUCCCACCACGGAAAAUCAUCCAGGGUCCCACGGUUGGUUUUUUGUUACUCUUUCCAGCCACCGUGGUCUCUUAUUCAUGGACAGUGCUGUCCCUUAACCGCUCUGUCCUGUCAGCUUCCUGACAUGUACUUUGUUCAUUUCUGAAUUUCCAGUGACGAGAACAACACACGGUUCCUCAGUAGGGACCCCUGUGUCCAUGAGGAAUGAUUCUGAAAGAAGCUUUUGAAAUGUAAAGAAAAAUCUUCAAAUUUUACAACAAUUUGACCAAAAAUCCAGUGCCUGUUAUCUAUAAGGGUAGUAAACAAUAGAAUAAAAGAUGCCCCAUGGUGUGUAACACAGAGAGCUGGCUUAAUGAUGCCAUCAUUUUUAAAUGCUUCUUUUGCUGCCCAAGACUCUCCAACAUGCGCACAUAGUUAGGGACUUUAUAUGAGCAUAUAACCUGUCAGAAUCCAUGUCAUCUAUAAAAAUCAGUCAUAGGGAAAUUUAGAUGAGAAAAAAGAACUUCUAAAAAGUGUGCAAUGUGAAGAAUUUCACACUGUUAACAAGAGGAAUCAGAUGCUGCUUUCCAGAGGAGAAGUUUAGAAAUCGAGUUCUAACUGAAGAUGCCGGAUCCCCAGAGAAACUCACAAUAAGUGACAUAAGGGCAGGUCAUACAACUGCAGGCAAAGAAUGCUCACUAUUCACACAAAUGCAGUCUUCAGGCUGAAUAGACACACUUCUGCACAUGUGGUCAGUCACCUGUCAGAUCUCAGGGAAAUUCUUCCCUGGCGAGGAAGAGGCACAGAGCUCACUGAUUCUCCUGCUAACCUAGGGUGCCCCUGAAUUUCUCCCACUCCUCCUCUCUCCAGUGCAGCACGCUCUGUUUGCAGGAGCAUGGCUUCCCUUUAAGCAUUUGUUUCUGAACUCAAAACUCAAAAACACAUUUGUUUUGCCCACUGAUUCUUUUGCCUUUGGGCAACAGAACACACUAAAAGCAUACAGAUGCAAUGCAGCCUGAUAGGAUAAAGAUACAAUCAUUAGCUCAUUUAUGUAAACAAUUCAUUGGAUAAACUUGAAAUAUAUGUGGGCUGCAGACGGUGUGACAGUGCUGCUGAGAAGCCCCGUGUACCUUUCCACCCCGGGCUCUUUACAUAAUCGAAUACAGAGCAAAGGAAUUCAAAUUAGCAGCCGAUCAAUUAAACAGGACUAGUCUGUUACCUCCUAAGACAGACCAAUGAACACCCCCUAACUGGUAAGUAUCAGUAGUGGAAAUCAAGAAAGAAAAGAAUUUUCAGAGUAUAUCAUUACAAAACAGUGCAAGUCCAGAUUUAUGUUGUUUCAUCUGUCCUUUAUUUAUGAAUCAAAUUCUAAACUGAUGAAGGAAUUACUUCUCAAGGGUGGCACGGAAGUAAAUCUGAGCUUCUCCAGAUCUAUCUACCCCAAGCAGGCAAAAUGUAACGAGCAGAGUACAGUAGUAUUCUAAGCAGAUCCAUCCAGCAUAUGCAGCUUACUGACAACAAAUCGAUAUGUUUUGGGAUUCAACUCAGACAAAGCUUAAUAGCAAAUGAAGGAGAGUAUUUCUCUGAACAAUUCUAUGCAGCAGGGAAAAGAUCUCUAUCAAGCUUUUCUUCCUACAGAUCAUUCAUCUCUGCCUCUCAAAAACGCUGACAAAAACGCAGAUAGCUUCUGGUAUAAUCUAUAUAGGCUCCAGAUAGCUGAAAUCUAUGUGUGGUACCAUCCUAAAUUGGUGUUGCGCUUCUUGUAGAAAGCUUUACAUAGAGCUGCGGAAGCUAAUAUGGUUUCUAAAGAUCCGUAUAUCAGUUUUUACAUUUAUAUUUCUUAUUUCAAAAAAAUAGCAGCCCAAAAUUCAUGCACAGAAUUACAUUAAAUGCAGAACUUUGCUACUUUCUGGUAUACUCACAUAAAGUGAUUUUAUUCUAAAAAUAUACAUUUGUACUUAAGUCACAUGUUUUUCAUAGUGUCUGAAAAUGUUUUAUUGUAACUAAUAUUCUGUAUUCUGUUUCUUUUUCUGCCAAUGAAUGUGAGCAGAAACAGGGAAAAAUCUCAUUGCUAAGAACGAGGGAAGGGGUAUCUGAUAACAUUUGUGAAAUUUUAAGUCGUAUAUUAUAUAAAACAAGAUGUUAUAAAAUACUUUAAUAAUAGCAACACGUCUAAAGACUCACUUCUUUUUGUCAGGCUUAGCCUAAACCAACAGGACAAAGCAAACAGGCUGCUUCUCAGUAAAUUGGGCAAAUGGACUCAAAACAAAGUGUGCAACCCCCCACCCCGGUACCAAGGAGUCCAGUGAUUGUCUACACACCUGAGAGACCGUCCCUGGGCAUCCAAGUCAUAAAUAUUCCAGCCCAGAUUCCUUUAGCCCUUUCCAUACCAUACAAGCCUAACUCCUCUCUCAGUUAGUUGCUGUCUCUCCCCUGGUGUUAGCCCAUUCUCUCAGGAUGAAAUGUCUCCCACUAGCUGCUACUAUGCCUCUCCCAAUAUCAGCCCAUCCACACAGCACUGUGAUAAACUCAGCUUUU